GAUGAACGUUAGCGGGAGGCUUAAUACAUGCAAGUCGAGCGGUAAGUUUUUAUAGCAAUAUGAAGACCUAGAGCGGCGCACGGGUGAGUAACGCGUACACGACCUGGCCUAAACUGGGGGAUAGCCUUGGGAAACUGAGAGUAAUCCCGCAUGUGAUUAUGUUACUGAUGGUGAUAUAAUUAAAGCUUCGGCGGUUUAGGAUGGGUGUGCGUCUGAUUAGCUAGUUGGUAGUGUAACGGACUACCAAGGCGAUGAUCAGUAGGGGGCGUGAGAGCGUGACCCCCCACACGGGUACUGAGACACGGACCCGACUCCUACGGGAGGCAGCAGUAAGGAAUAUUGGUCAAUGGGGGCAACCCUGAUCCAGCCAUGCCGCGUGUGUGAAGAAGGCC
This 392-nucleotide ribosomal RNA is filed under the name uncultured bacterium. RNAcentral's name for it is "bacterial SSU rRNA". It matches the Rfam family "Bacterial small subunit ribosomal RNA", at positions 28 to 416 of the family's 1533-position model. The record is from RNAcentral.